This 543-nucleotide ribosomal RNA is filed under the name uncultured bacterium. RNAcentral describes it as "bacterial LSU rRNA". It matches the Rfam family "Bacterial large subunit ribosomal RNA", at positions 14 to 609 of the family's 2925-position model. The record is from RNAcentral.
AGCGCAUACGGUGGAUGCCUAGGCAGUAAGAGGCGAUGAAGGACGUUGUAGCAUGCGAUAAGCCGCGGGGAGUUUGCAAACUAACCCUGAUCCGCGGAUUUCCGAAUGGGGAAACCCACCUGAGAUCACUCAGGUAUCGUGCAGUGAAUACAUAGCUGCAUGAAGCGAACCCGGAGAACUGAAACAUCUAAGUACCCGGAGGAAAAGAAAUCAACCGAGAUUCCCUUAGUAGCGGCGAGCGAACGGGGAUUAGCCCUUAAGUUGUAAUAGUGUUAGUGGAACAGUCUGGAAAGUCUGGCGAUACAGGGUGAUAGCCCCGUACACGAAAACCUAUUACAGUGAAAACGAGUAGGUCGGAGCACGUGAAACUUUGACUGAACAUGGGGGGACCAUCCUCCAAGGCUAAAUACUCCUUACUGACCGAUAGUGAACCAGUACCGUGAGGGAAAGGCGAAAAGAACCCGGAGAGGGAGUGAAAUAGAUCCUGAAACCGUAUGCGUACAAGCAGUGGGAGCACCCUCGUGGUGUGACUGCGUACCUUUU